This 398-nucleotide unclassified non-coding RNA is filed under the name Hevea brasiliensis (rubber tree). Lineage: Eukaryota; Viridiplantae; Streptophyta; Magnoliopsida; Malpighiales; Euphorbiaceae. The record is from RNAcentral.
GGAGAUUUAACUCUCUAGCUAAGGCUUGCUUUUGCUUAGGGUUGAGAGUACUGUGAAGUUUGAAGCUCUCUUCCAAAAGGGCAGAUUGUUCUUUAGUUAGCCUAAGUUUUUUUCUAGCAUUAGAACCAUCUUCUUCUUCGUCGCUAACUCGAGAAGAAGCUUUCUCUUCUUCAAUAUCUUCACCACCGGAAACAUCUCUUUCACGCUUGACCUUACCGCCAGAGAAAGAAGAAAUCGCACUGUGAGGAGAUGGUUGCCGUGACAAAUCAGCGGUUUCAGAUGGGUAAGUGUCGACGGUGGAAAGCCCCAAAGUUAAGGAAGGCUCGGAUUCAGGGGGGGGAAAACAGAGCAAAUCCAGGGGCUUCUUGGGUUUUUGAGAAAGAUGGGGAGGAUUAGAG